GGGCCCGCACAAGCGGUGGAGUAUGUGGUUUAAUUCGAUGCAACGCGAAGAACCUUACCAGGGUUUGACAUCCUGCGAAUCUCUUGGAAACGAGAGAGUGCCUUCGGGAACGCAGUGACAGGUGGUGCAUGGCUGUCGUCAGCUCGUGUCGUGAGAUGUUAGGUUAAGUCCUGCAACGAGCGCAACCCCUAUAUUUAGUUGCCAGCACAUAAUGGUGGGGACUCUAGAGAGACCGCCGGUGAUAAACCGGAGAAGGUGUGGAUGACGUCAAGUCAUCAUGCCCCUUACAUCUGGGCUACACACGUACUACAAUGCUACGGACAAAGAGCAGCAAGUUCGCGAGGACAAGCAAAUCUCAUAAACCGUGGCUC
RNAcentral lists this ribosomal RNA (371 nucleotides) under uncultured bacterium. RNAcentral's name for it is "bacterial SSU rRNA". It matches the Rfam family "Bacterial small subunit ribosomal RNA", at positions 917 to 1289 of the family's 1533-position model. The record is from RNAcentral.